Long non-coding RNA from Onychomys torridus (southern grasshopper mouse), 1331 nucleotides. RefSeq lists it as uncharacterized. Lineage: Eukaryota; Metazoa; Chordata; Mammalia; Rodentia; Cricetidae. The record is from RefSeq and is a predicted model, not a curated record. The transcript is spliced from 3 exons.
UGGACUGAAUCAGAGCUUGAGUUUCUGGUCUCCGACACCCACAUCCCUCUGCAUCAACUCCAAGGAAAAUGCCCGCUUGACCCUCUUUUUCCUCACAGCGACCCUCUCCACGACGAGACUGAGUCCUCACUCAGCCGCAGCUGGCAACAUGCGACACAUUAUGAAAUUAAACGUCUGCUACUCCCAAAUCUUACUUUUAGGUGUCGGGGAGAAGGGAUCCCAGCGAAAGGAAAUGUAAAAUGGGUGCACGAGGACCGUGGAGACUCGAACUGUUGCUGAUGGCAUGAUGUAGAUUCCCAGAAAACCACCAUGCAACACGAAGCUUUAAAGGAACCCUCAUAAAAGACACAUGUGUGAUGUGAAGAAGGAGGAGAGAUUGGCUCGAUGUAGCCAGGAGUCAAGGAAUGCUGAUCGCUGCUGGAAUGCGGAUGGCCAGCAGGCACUACUGAGACCGAAGGAGACAUGUCCCCGGCACAGCCAUGUUGACACUUUGACUUCCGGCCUCCAGGCCUGGAGGAACAUUGUUGUCGCUUUGAGCAACCCAGUUGCUGGAACUUGUUACAGCAGCCACAGAAGGUUGCAGCUGUCUUUAAUGUGCUGAGACUGUGUUCUACACAUUUCCUGAUAUAUGACAGUCAUGAUUUUUUUAUUUAAUGCUACUUCCAACUGCCAACAUUAGACAGUUAUUACAUGCAUGUAUGUAUGUGUAUGGGUGUGCUACGUGUGGAAGGCAGAGGAACUUGCAGGAAUUGGGCCUUUUGUUACACAUGUGGGCCUUGGGGACUGAACUCACAGCAUCAGACUUACCCACUGAGCCCUCCCAAGCCUUUUACCCCCCAUCUUGAGUCAUCAAGCUCAAUCAGGCUGUGCAUUUUACUCACUGCAUUUUAUUUGUGGAGCUCCAGGGACACAAAGGGUUGUUGGAGUGUGGUACCUGAUCAAUGAUCUCUGCCAGUUCAUGUCUAGCCCUGGAGACCUGUGUGCCUUUACCAGCCAGCUGAAAAGAAACAGAUUUAUUCUAGCUUCACACAUGUUGGAACAAAAUGCUAGGGUCUGUAGAGAAUGGAACAGUGUGCUGUCUUAAGAGGAAUUGGAGUCAAGUGGCACUUUUGAGCAAUGGCACUGGCGUACAUUUUAAAAGCUGCUCAUGGGACAGACUUUAUUUCCAAUCUACAACCAUUAAAAAGGAUUUGUAAGUUCACAUUGUACAGUUCUCAUGUUUGAAAUAAGACACAGGGCAAAGACAGCUGGUGGACUAGAUUGUGGUCCUCCUGGCACCCAAUCCACCCUGGGAAGGAGCCUUUGAAAGCAGAACAUAAGGAAGAGGAGGA